Long non-coding RNA from Cygnus atratus (black swan), 2779 nucleotides. RefSeq lists it as uncharacterized. The transcript is spliced from 3 exons. The record is from RefSeq and is a predicted model, not a curated record. NCBI's taxonomy places the organism in Eukaryota, Metazoa, Chordata, Aves, Anseriformes, Anatidae.
CUACCACAUAAGGAGAAGGGGGAAGCUGAAGGACGACUGAAGGACAAAGCCUGGGAGGAAGACUAUGAGCCUUCAGCACGAGCGACCCCUGAGGGACCACCGGAGACUGAUAUGCAGGCACCCUUGGGGGCUCGUCUGGGAGAGCUUUGGUUCCUGAAUUCUCAUUUGAUCCAGGAGAGGCGCCCCACCAUUUGGUGGCUCCUGUUCGAGUCGGAUCGGGACUAACGCCAUCUUGAACCUGAAUAAAGGCAAGCAAAGAUUUUGAUUUUUUACGAGCUCCCUUGCUGGCUGCAGCACUAUAUUUUGCCCGUAAUUCUGCACGCGAAGAUCUGAAUGAAGACGAUGGAGUCUUUUCCAGGAGCUGGAUCACCCCGAAAUGCUGAACGGUAACACAAGCUCAAAUCGACCCUGAAAGCGGGCCCAACCCCUUGACUGAAGGCGUUUCCCACACCCUCAAGAUUGGAUGGCGCAAAAUGAUAAGAAAUGCUAUACUUCCUGGUAUUGUUUUUACAGGGGCAAUUGAGCCAUGGGCAAGAAUGGAGGAAUAACUUUUUCACUUUGGGGACGGAAGUGGCCAAGGCCUUUAACCUUAGUAACUGCUGGAUUUGUGGAGGACCGGGGGGAACUGAAAGUUGGCCCUGGGUAGCUGGCCCGGUCGAACCCAAGUGGUGGGUCAGUAAUUCGAGUGAAGUUCAUAAUGGAACACAAUUUUGGAAAGAGGAAGGAGGCCCGUGGCAAUUGCACUUGUCAGCUUGGGGUAUAUAUUGCUUGAACAGAACAGGAAUGGUAGCGGUAGGAAAAAGCAUUUGCAAUUGGACUCUGUCUCCUGGAUAUGAUUGUACCGAUCCUGGAUGUAGACCUAUAAACUGUACAGCACGUAGUAGGAGAUGGAACACCACACACGUCCAGCUGAGAAACGGGACUUGGCUGAAAUGCUCAUAUAGGGAAUUUUUUGGAUCCGGAUGUGAAACCGUGGCAAGAGCACAAGUGGGGGGGACAAUUUGACGGCCAGAUCUUGAGCUGUCAGCGUGGUAACACCACUAAGGAACAGCAUGUGGUACGGGUCUAUCGCUGGAGAUGGCAGGAUGAGAAUGGGAGAUACAGUAUCAACUCAUAGAAGGCACAGAAGGUACAAAGAGAAAAUAGUCUGCAGUAAACUGAGGAGCAGUGAAACAGGAGACUGCAGGCUGACGUGUCAAAUCAAUUACAGCCAUUUAUUUUCAUUCCAAAUGGCAGUCUUCAUGGCUCUAGAGCAAUCUGACUUAUGAGUAAACUAGAAGAGCAAUCGCCACACUCAGUAAGGAAGAGCUGCUGCAGAGGUUCACUGAAAUCAUAUGUUGGACAAACUAUCUUCCCUGUUCUACUUCUGUCAAAGAACUUACUACGAUUUUUCAGGUACUACUUCGUGUAAUUUCUGUACAUUGACUUAAGAAGUUAAGAUUUUUCUCUGUGCAAGUAUGGAUCCUAGAUCAAAGUUCCAAAUCCAAAUACCACAGACCUUUGUGUAUUUGUAUGGAUUCAGAAUUCAAAUUACAGCUUUGUCCUUUGAGAAGAAGAAAGGCUGAAGUUCUCACUGAGUUCAAUUUUGUGGAUUCUGAUGCUGAAAUCUGAAUACUGUGGCUGGAGAUUUCAUGGUAUAUUAACUUUGAUAUAUUCUGUGUAAUUUCUUGAUCUCAAAUUACAAAUAAAUACAUAAAUCAAAUUUAUUAACACCAGGUUUUCUGUUAUCAUUUUAAACAGUGCUGCUUUAUAUUUUUCUGUCACCAGCUACUACUACUACUUGGGUGCAGUCUAAUCUCACUGCACCUUAUGCAGCAUCAGAUGACUAAUAUUUGUGGAUCAGCUUUUCAUCAUUAAUAUAUAUUUUUUUUGUCUUUAUCACAGGAGUGCUCAAGAGUGGGAGAAAAGCUAACUGAACUCUCAUUGCUCAAUAUAGUCCUGAGCACUGUUUAAGAAUCCUUUUCAGAGACAAGUUCAUCAAGGCUCCUAUUCAAAGCACACUGAACUCCUUGUGAGUUUUCGCGUGAAGUUCAGAGGCUUUUGGCUUGCUCCAUGAGAAAAAGAAAGCUUCCAUUGGACAGUAUAUCUAAGCAACUCUUCCAACUUUGGGGAUAAAAUUAAUCUCCUACAUACGUAGGUCAGCCACAGCAAUUUGCUGGGCAUAGCAAAAGAAAAUCGUAACUCGUUUCCUGUGUGUUUUUAACACAAAGAUGUCUGUACCAAAAUAAUCUAAAGUGACUUUACUACAGAUCAGAUCAUCACUUAUUAUCAAAAAGGGAUCGACUUAAAUCCCAAUCAAAAAAUCAGCUGAAGCUUCUCAAAAGUCACUUAUCAUAUGAAAGUAGUUAAAUGUAGUAAGUGGUAGCAAGGUUUCUAACAUACCUUUUAUAGUUCAUCCUAACUUUCUUCCCUUGCAGCAAGUCAGCUGAUCUUCCUGGGGCUGCUGUGCAACAGAGCCAUUGAGCAGAUCCUUCUUGUGGAAUACAUAUGCUUCAAAUGCAGAAAAUAUAUUUCUAAUAAUGAUAUACUGUAACUGAAGUGAAGUAGUGUAAUGAAUAUACUGAAUGGAGAAUGAUGAUAAGGAUAGAAGAUAUAAUGUGCAUUUUUUUUGCAUCUGUUUCUAUUCUGAAGAUGAAAAAAUCUAUUUAUCUGUGUGUUGAUUAGCAUGCAAUUGGGGCAGUAAAUCAGUACUUCACAUUCCAUUCAGUUCUUGUGCACUCUCUGGUUUGUCAUUCACACAGAUAUGGAAGAAGCAGAUUCAUCGUUUGUCAUCUAUGAG